UACGUAGGGGGCUAGCGUUGUUCGGAAUCACUGGGCGUAAAGCGCACGUAGGCGGAUCUUUAAGUCAGGGGUGAAAUCCCGGGGCUCAACCUCGGAACUGCCUUUGAUACUGGGGAUCUCGAGUCCGGGAGAGGUGAGUGGAACUGCGAGUGUAGAGGUGAAAUUCGUAGAUAUUCGCAAGAACACCAGUGGCGAAGGCGGCUCACUGGCCCGGAACUGACGCUGAGGUGCGAAAGCGUGGGGAGCAAACAGG
RNAcentral lists this ribosomal RNA (253 nucleotides) under uncultured bacterium. RNAcentral describes it as "partial 16S ribosomal RNA". It matches the Rfam family "Bacterial small subunit ribosomal RNA", at positions 524 to 776 of the family's 1533-position model. The record is from RNAcentral.